Molecule: long non-coding RNA, 1319 nt
Organism: Canis lupus familiaris (dog)
Lineage: Eukaryota; Metazoa; Chordata; Mammalia; Carnivora; Canidae
Exons: 3
Source: RefSeq, a predicted model, not a curated record
AGAGGUUGUGGCUGUUGGAGAACAGGAGAGAGGAAUGUUGUUCCCGAAGGUAGGACAAAUCUGAAGUACAAAUGUAUGUGAGCUGUGGCUUUCAAAUGACAAAGAAAAUUGGAGAAUGGUGAGGAAAUCGGUGGUGAGUGUUGAAGUCAGGGCUAGAACCCGGAUCAUUUUCCUUCAAGUCAUGAAUUGUGCCUCCAAACCACACAGAAACACUUCACAGACCCCAAAGGAAACGAUGAGUAGCAGAACUGAUCAUGAGUCUCCUAAGAUUGGGAAGGAAAGGAUUGGAAUUCAUUCAAAAUGAGGUUUUAUGUAUUUAUUAAUGAGAGACCAACAGAGAGAGAGAGGCAGAGACACAGGCAGAAGGAGAAGCAGGCUUCAUGAAGGGAGCCCCAUGUAGAACUCGAUCCCGGGACUCCAGGAUCAGGCCCUGGGCUGAAGGCAGCGCUAAACCGCUGAGCCACCUGGGCUGCCCUCUCAUGUCUUCUUCUCAUGAGGACACCAGCCAUUCGGGAUCAGAGUCCCGUCCCCCACCCCCACAAACCCUCUCUUUUUAAAGAGAAUCACCUUUUUAAAGACACUAUUUCCAUAAAUGGUCACAUUCUGAGGUCCUGGAGAUUAGGACUUCAACACAGGAGUUUGGGGGUAGGCGGACACAAUUCAGCCUAGAACAGAGGUGUAAGCAGACUUAUGUUUGGAGAAGCUUCUCUGGCUCCUGGGUACUGGGUGAAUGAGGGAGGGGACUGAUGGCAAGAGGCCCUGCCCAAGCAUGAGGGGUAGAGCCUAUUCAGGCAGGCUUUCAACCUCCUUUCUGUCUCCUGUUCUGACUUCAUUGCAUUUUCAUGCAGAAUAUUCAAAUGCUAUGGAAAUCUAAACACUGCUGUAUAAGCUAUACUUUUUAAAGUAGUCAAAUGGGACACUAGAAAAUCUUACAUUUGAAGCAGUACUUCCAAGUUUGAGUUUAAAAAAGAAAAACCCAAACAAAAACAAUUCCCUAGUCACCUAAAGGCAAAAGGGAAUUUUUUUUUGGUAGGGGGAAGGAGAGAAUGAUUUUUGUGACUUAAUUAUGAAAACACCAGAUUAAAAAAUGAUUUUAUUUUUAUUUUAUUUAUUUAUGAGAGACACACAGAGAGAGGCAGAGACAUAAGCAGAGGGAGAAGCAGGCUCCCUAUGGGAAGCCUGAUGUAGGACUUGAUCCCAGGACUCUGGGAGCCAAAGACAGAUGCUCAACCCCUGAACGACCCAGGUGCCUCAAAAAUGAUUUUGUGUUAUUGAAUUUUUUGCUGAAACGUCACUUGAAAUAAAAAUAAAAUAACAGA